AUUGAACGCUGGCGGCAUGCCUUACACAUGCAAGUCGAACGGCAGCACGGGUGCUUGCACCUGGUGGCGAGUGGCGAACGGGUGAGUAAUACAUCGGAACGUACCUUAUCGUGGGGGAUAACGCAGCGAAAGUUGCGCUAAUACCGCAUACGCCCUGAGGGGGAAAGCGGGGGACCGUAAGGCCUCGCGCGAUUAGAGCGGCCGAUGUCUGAUUAGCUUGUUGGUGAGGUAAAAGCUCACCAAGGCGAUGAUCAGUAGCUGGUCUGAGAGGACGAUCAGCCACACUGGGACUGAGACACGGCCCAGACUCCUACGGGAGGCAGCAGUGGGGAAUUUUGGACAAUGGGGGCAACCCUGAUCCAGCAAUGCCGCGUGAGUGAAGAAGGCCUUCGGGUUGUAAAGCUCUUUUGUCAGGGAAGAAACAGCAGCUCUGACACAGUCUGCGAAUGACGGUACCUGAAGAAUAAGCACCGGCUAACUAUGUGCCAGCCGCCGCGGUAA
Molecule: ribosomal RNA, 501 nt
Filed under: uncultured bacterium
Lineage: Bacteria
Description: partial 16S ribosomal RNA
Rfam family: Bacterial small subunit ribosomal RNA
Source: RNAcentral